This 139-nucleotide small nuclear RNA is filed under the name Dipodomys ordii (Ord's kangaroo rat). RNAcentral describes it as "U1 spliceosomal RNA (ENSDORG00000021260.2)". It matches the Rfam family "U1 spliceosomal RNA". From Rfam's summary of the family: U1 is a small nuclear RNA (snRNA) component of the spliceosome (involved in pre-mRNA splicing). Its 5' end forms complementary base pairs with the 5' splice junction, thus defining the 5' donor site of an intron. Lineage: Eukaryota; Metazoa; Chordata; Mammalia; Rodentia; Heteromyidae. The record is from RNAcentral.
AUACUUAACCCCCAUGGGAAGGUACCAUGAACUUAAAGAUGGUUUUCCCAGAGUAGGACUUUCCUGUAGCUUUCUAUAUGAUUUCUCCAAAUGUGGGAAACUCAACUGUAUAAUUGUGGUAGUAAGGAACUCUUCCAUU